UGAAAACGACUGCUAAGACUGGAUAGGAAAUAAAAAGGCAUCUUUUUAUUUUUAAAAGACCUUCUUCGGAGGGUACGCUUAAAGAGGGGCUUGCGUCACAUUAGUUAGUUGGUAGGGUAAUGGCCUACCAAGACGAUGAUGUGUAGCUGGACUGAGAGGUUGGACAGCCACAUUGGGACUGAGACACGGCCCAAACUCCUACGGGAGGCAGCAGUAGGGAAUUUUCGGCAAUGGAGGAAACUCUGACCGAGCAACGCCGCGUGAACGACGAAGUACUUCGGUAUGUAAAGUUCUUUUAUUGAAGAAGAAACAAUAGUGGAAAAACUAUCUUGACGUUAUUCAAUGAAUAAGCCCCGGCUAACUAUGUGCCAGCAGCCGCGGUAAUACAUAGGGGGCGAGCGUUAUCCGGAAUUAUUGGGCGUAAAGGGUGCGUAGGCGGUUUAAUAAGUCUCUAGUUUAAUUUCAACGCUUAACGUUGUUCUGCUAGAGAAACUGUUUAACUAGAGUGAGAUAGAGGUAAGCGGAAUUCCAUGUGUAGCGGUAAAAUGUGUAAAUAUAUGGAGGAACACCAGAGGCGUAGGCGGCUUACUGGGUCUUUACUGACGCUGAUGCACGAAAGCGUGGGGAGCAAACAGGAUUAGAUACCCUGGUAGUCCACGCCGUAAACUAUGAGUACUAAGUGUCGGGGUUAAACUCGGUACUGAAGUUAACACAUUAAGUACUCCGCCUGAGUAGUACGUACGCAAGUAUGAAACUUAAAGGAAUUGACGGGAUCCCGCACAAGCGGUGGAUCAUGUUGUUUAAUUCGAAGAUACACGAAAAACCUUACCAGGUCUUGACAUACUCUGCAAAACUAUAGAAAUAUAGUGGAGGUUAUCAGGGAUACAGGUGGUGCAUGGUUGUCGUCAGCUCGUGUCGUGAGAUGUUAGGUUAAGUUCUAAAACGAGCGCAACCCCUGUCGUUAAUUGCCAGCACGUUAUGGUGGGGACUUUAGCGAGACUGCCAAUGAAAAAUUGGAGGAAGGUGGGGAUUACGUCAAAUCAUCAUGCCCCUUAUGAUCUGGGCUACAAACGUGAUACAAUGGCUAUUACAAAGAGUGGCUUAAACGCGAGUUUUUGGCAAAUCUCAAAAAAAUAGUCUUAGUUCGGAUUGAAGUCUGCAACUCGACUUCGUGAAGUUGGAAUCGCUAGUAAUCGCGAAUCAGCAUGUCGCGGUGAAUACGUUCUCGGGGUUUGUACACACCGCCCGUCA
Molecule: ribosomal RNA, 1251 nt
Filed under: 'Cocos nucifera' phytoplasma Palm A-DR
Lineage: Bacteria; Bacillati; Mycoplasmatota; Mollicutes; Acholeplasmatales; Acholeplasmataceae
Description: bacterial SSU rRNA
Rfam family: Bacterial small subunit ribosomal RNA
Source: RNAcentral